This 144-nucleotide ribosomal RNA is filed under the name Leucocoprinus gongylophorus. Its description in RNAcentral is "Leucoagaricus gongylophorus partial 5.8S ribosomal RNA". It matches the Rfam family "5.8S ribosomal RNA". From Rfam's summary of the family: 5.8S ribosomal RNA (5.8S rRNA) is a component of the large subunit of the eukaryotic ribosome. It is transcribed by RNA polymerase I as part of the 45S precursor that also contains 18S and 28S rRNA. The record is from RNAcentral. Lineage: Eukaryota; Fungi; Basidiomycota; Agaricomycetes; Agaricales; Agaricaceae.
GAUUGGAUCACUCGGCUCAUGGGUCGAUGAAGAACGCAGCGAAAUGCGAUAAGUAAUGUGAAUUGCAGAAUUCAGUGAAUCAUCGAAUCUUUGAACGCACCUUGCACUCCUUGGUAUUCCGAGGAGCAUGCCUGUUUGAGUGUC